RNAcentral lists this ribosomal RNA (158 nucleotides) under uncultured Debaryomyces. Its description in RNAcentral is "5.8S ribosomal RNA". It matches the Rfam family "5.8S ribosomal RNA". Rfam says of the family: 5.8S ribosomal RNA (5.8S rRNA) is a component of the large subunit of the eukaryotic ribosome. It is transcribed by RNA polymerase I as part of the 45S precursor that also contains 18S and 28S rRNA. Functionally, it is thought that 5.8S rRNA may be involved in ribosome translocation. The record is from RNAcentral. Lineage: Eukaryota; Fungi; Ascomycota; Saccharomycetes; Saccharomycetales; Saccharomycetaceae.
AAACUUUCAACAACGGAUCUCUUGGUUCUCGCAUCGAUGAAGAACGCAGCGAAAUGCGAUAAGUAAUAUGAAUUGCAGAUUUUCGUGAAUCAUCGAAUCUUUGAACGCACUUUGCGCCCUCUGGUAUUCCAGAGGGCAUGCCUGUUUGAGCGUCAUUU